ACGGGUGAGUAACACGUAAGGAACCUGCCUCAAGGAUUGGGAUAACUCCGAGAAAUCGGAGCUAAUACCGGAUAGUUCAUCGGACCGCAUGGUCCGUUGAUGAAAGGCGCUUCGGCGUCACCUUGAGAUGGCCUUGCGGUGCAUUAGCUAGUUGGUGGGGUAACGGCCCACCAAGGCGACGAUGCAUAGCCGACCUGAGAGGGUGAUCGGCCACACUGGGACUGAGACACGGCCCAGACUCCUACGGGAGGCAGCAGUAGGGAAUCUUCCACAAUGGACGAAAGUCUGAUGGAGCAACGCCGCGUGAGUGAUGAAGGUUUUCGGAUCGUAAAACUCUGUUGUAAGGGAAGAACACGUACGAGAGGAAAUGCUCGUACCUUGACGGUACCUUACGAGAAAGCCACGGCUAACUACGUGCCAGCAGCCGCGGUAAUACGUAGGUGGCAAGCGUUGUCCGGAAUUAUUGGGCGUAAAGCGCGCGCAGGCGGCCUUUUAAGUCUGAUGUGAAAGCCCCCGGCUCAACCGGGGAGGGCCAUUGGAAACUGGAAGGCUUGAGUACAGAAGAGA
Molecule: ribosomal RNA, 567 nt
Filed under: uncultured bacterium
Lineage: Bacteria
Description: bacterial SSU rRNA
Rfam family: Bacterial small subunit ribosomal RNA
Source: RNAcentral